CGGGGAAUAUUGCGCAAUGGGCGAAAGCCUGACGCAGCGACGCCGCGUGGGUGAUGAAGGCCUUCGGGUCGUAAAGCCCUUUCGAUGGGAAAGAACAAGUCGGGUUCAAAUAGACCCCGGCCCUGACGGUACCCAUAGAAGAAGCACCGGCUAACUCCGUGCCAGCAGCCGCGGUAAUACGGAGGGUGCGAGCGUUGUUCGGAAUCACUGGGCGUAAAGCGCGUGUAGGCGGCUUGAUAAGUCUGGUGUGAAAGCCCGGGGGCUCACCCCCCGGAAGUGCACUGGAUACUGUCGAGCUCGAGUUCCGGAGAGGAGAGUGGAAUUCCUGGUGUAGCGGUGAAAUGCGUAGAUAUCAGGAGGAACACCGGUGGCGAAGGCGGCUCUCUGGACGGUGACUGACGCUGAGACGCGAAAGCGUGGGGAGCAAACAGGAUUAGAUACCCACGUAGUCCCUGAGCGGGCUGGCAAGGCGCAU
RNAcentral lists this ribosomal RNA (475 nucleotides) under uncultured bacterium. Its description in RNAcentral is "bacterial SSU rRNA". It matches the Rfam family "Bacterial small subunit ribosomal RNA", at positions 355 to 825 of the family's 1533-position model. The record is from RNAcentral.